UUGCUCGCUUUGCAGGACGUACACUAAAACUGGAAUGAAACCAAGUAGAUUAGCAUUGCCCCUGUGCAAGGAUGACACACACAUUUGGGAAGUGUUUCAUAUUUUU
This is a small nuclear RNA of Ochotona princeps (American pika), 106 nucleotides long. The record is from Ensembl. Lineage: Eukaryota; Metazoa; Chordata; Mammalia; Lagomorpha; Ochotonidae.